This 502-nucleotide ribosomal RNA is filed under the name uncultured bacterium. RNAcentral's name for it is "partial 16S ribosomal RNA". It matches the Rfam family "Bacterial small subunit ribosomal RNA", at positions 30 to 523 of the family's 1533-position model. The record is from RNAcentral.
AUUGAACGCUGGCGGCAGGCUUAACACAUGCAAGUCGAGCGGGGUGAUGGUGCUUGCACUAUCACUUAGCGGCGGACGGGUGAGUAAUGCUUAGGAAUCUGCCUAUUAGUGGGGGACAACAUCUCGAAAGGGAUGCUAAUACCGCAUACGUCCUACGGGAGAAAGCAGGGGAUCACUUGUGACCUUGCGCUAAUAGAUGAGCCUAAGUCGGAUUAGCUAGUUGGUGGGGUAAAGGCCUACCAAGGCGACGAUCUGUAGCGGGUCUGAGAGGAUGAUCCGCCACACUGGGACUGAGACACGGACCAGACUCCUACGGGAGGCAGCAGUGGGGAAUAUUGGACAAUGGGGGGAACCCUGAUCCAGCCAUGCCGCGUGUGUGAAGAAGGCCUUAUGGUUGUAAAGCACUUUAAGCGAGGAGGAGGCUCUUUUGGUUAAUACCCAAGAUGAGUGGACGUUACUCGCAGAAUAAGCACCGGCUAACUCUGUGCCAGCCGCCGAGUAA